This is a long non-coding RNA of Nyctereutes procyonoides (raccoon dog), 3238 nucleotides long. RefSeq lists it as uncharacterized. The transcript has 2 exons. The record is from RefSeq and is a predicted model, not a curated record. NCBI's taxonomy places the organism in Eukaryota, Metazoa, Chordata, Mammalia, Carnivora, Canidae.
UUCAAACAGCUUUUAUUCACACUAGGACUAGAGGAAAAUCUAAUUCAGUAGAAAACACAAGACAAAAGGAAAUCUUUCAUCCUUUGAAGGAAAAUCACAACAUUAACAACAUUGACAUUAAUUUGGAACACACCAUUGAAUUAUUCAUUCAAUAUUUUCAAAUACAAAAAAGGAAUCCUAAAGAAGGUAAACAUUCCAUGAGCAUGUUCAACAAUGGUAUUGUUAUUAGGUAUUAAUCCUUUAUUAGAUAAUUAUUUUUCACAUCUGGGAAAACAUCACUGGCAGCACAAUUUUAAGAAAAGAAGUUUGGCAACAAGUAUUUUUCUCAGCAGCUCUGGAUGACAGAUUUUGGUGAAUGCUAGCCAAAAAAAUUAAGGGCAAAACCACUGGUGCACAGAGGACAACAAACUGAUCUUAUUACAGAAACAGAUAUCAGACCACAAUAGAAAAGACAUUUUAAUUUUACACAAAGCCAGAAACUCCAGAUUAUUGGCAUACACAUCAACAAGCCUGGUCUAAAGUUGUUUAAUCAUGAGAGUAAUAAAUAUUCGUUUCCUGCCUGCCCUGCCCACCUUGUUUAAAAAUAUCAGGAUAUUUGCUUUCAAAUGACACAAACUGACAAGGUAUAAUCUACAAAAUGGUCAUUCACUUGUAACAGAAUGCUUCUUAUGCCUAGCAACCACUGAAAGGGCAAUUUCAUAUAACCCAGCUAUUGUGGAGAUAGACACUGACAUUGCUUAUCCAGAAAAAGUUUGAGAAUCUUAAAAUUAGAAAAAGCAUAUGUAGAUUUUUAUCUAAAAACAUUUUUUUCAUCCCCAGGAAAGUGUGAUUCCUCUUUAGAUCUCAGAAUUCUUAAUUCCUAAGUUGUUAUAUUACUUCACUUCUACUCAAGUUUAAGUUAAUAAAAGCAACAGCCUGAAGCUGCUGCAAGAUAUCAAGUAUCAUAAAAUGCCAACUCUAAGAAAGGGCACAACCAUGAAGCUUAAAGGACAUGACGACAUUGUCCCACAAAACAUUUGACCCUCCUUUAUUUUAUUUGAUGUUGCAACAUUUGCCUCUAUUGUGCCUAAGGCCCAAACAGAAAAAUAAAAGGCUCCAAUUUUCUUUGAAUAGUCUGGAAAUAAUAUCUUAUUUCCAAAUUAUAUUGAUUUAAAAUUACUCCUCUGGCAUUUUUUCUUCAGGUUAGAGUUUAUGCUUCUGAGUUUACUCAGAAAGGCAUCAUCCAAACGGCAUGGAGAGUAUAUAUAAUCUUCUUACUGCUAUAACUAGUACAACAGAAGUAGGCAGUACCAAGAAUGGUGGGAAACCACAUUUGAGACCAAAAGAAAAAUUCUGUAUUAAUAAAACAAAGUGCCAAAUCCAAGACCGUAGGCCAAAACACAAUAACUGGGUCUAUAUUUUAAAAUAAGAAUAGUAAAAAAAAGUCAAGUAGUUCUUGAAAAGGAAGAGAUAAAAAGGAAGAUAAAGAGAAUCUAUACUAGAGUUUAUGUAAAUUGGCAUGACUCAAAGUAUACCUAGUAGUGUCUCAGAAUAUAAGUUGCCGAGGUUGUUUCUACUUAGGAAACAUAGAGAUUUAAGAAAUUACUCUGAUAGUUUAGAUAUGGCAGUUUGUUAUUGGCAGUUAGACAAGGGAAAGAAGGGUGGAAAGGAAAUUGUUGGUUACUAAGACUGGCCCUGUAUGGUGAAUUCAUCAUGCGUUUGCUAAAAGUUCCAGUUUGAGAAUUAAGAUGGUUUGAGAAAUUGUUACAAUCCUAUUACUCUAUCAUUGAGAUCAAGUCCAAAAAGCCCCAGAUCAACAGUCUAAGUUUCAAUUGUCUGACCCAGCUAUUUCCAACAUAUUAUAACUGACUCAGCUGUUGCAUAAGCCAUUAUAUAAAACCAGCCAUGUAUAUUAUAAAAAACAUAGACUGGAGCUGAUUUGGAGAAAUCAAGUUCUAGAGUCCUAUAUACCAUGUUUAUCUAAAAAAUUUAUACUCUGGACCAUAUGACAAGCAUGUUGUGUUUCAUGAGGCAUUUGAUAGAGUAAAAUCAAGGAGGCAAGGGCUAUGGUUUUCAAUGUAAAUAGGACUGAGAAAAGAAGCCACAGAUAGGCACUUACGUAUUUUAGUGAUGGUACUGAUUCAGGUGAUAUAAUACUCCUAAUACUUCAUUCAAAAGGCAGUAAAUAGUAUAUAAUACUGCUGGAGACCAAAAUAUAAUUGUGUCCUCUGGGAACACAAGAGAUAUUAUAUUUGAUGAAGAUCAUGACCAUGUUGAUGAUCAGUUUUAAAGACAACAAUAAAAUGCCUCCAUUUCUUAGCUUAGAUCAUCUGGUUUUCAUUUCUUUUGGAGGUGAAAAUUCUCUCUUUACGGAAGAGUUAAACAGGUGUUGUUCCCUACUUCUUUUCUUUUUCCUAUUUUCUCAGCAAGUCAUUUCAUUCCUGAAGCAGGAAAAGAAUGUUAAGAUAGAUACACCUAGAAAUGACAAUGUCAAACUCUGACAAAAUGAUUAUUUCCAGCUCAGAAUGAAUUGCUUUUAAGACAGAAAACUUUGGCUUGUUUUGUGGCUAUUAGACAUUUAAUACUUUCACUGAGACAAGUUGAGUGUAAACUUUCAGAAGAUAAAUAGUAAUAAAUAUUUAAAUAAACCACCUUAAACAUAGAUGCUGGCAUAAAAAAUAAGUAUAAAAGUCCUGAUUGAAGAGAAAUUUUCUCCCAGGAGACUUUCCACACGAUAAUUCUAUUUUAUUUCCAUAUGGAAUCUGUGAAGAAAUCCAGUAAAUCCACAAAGCUUUAUGAUUGACCUUUGGAAAUAAAAUAGUACUAAGCUGUUAGGAGAGACCAGCUCUACAGUUUCUGAAAUUGUGUGAGGAGACAUCCUGCUUUCAAAUCCACCACGUUUUCUUUUUCUUUUUUUUUUUUAAAGGUUUUAUUUCUAAGUAAUCUUUACACCCAAUGUGGAGUUGAGCUUACAACCCCAAGAUCAAGAGUUGCAUGCUCUACCAACUGAGCCAGCCAGAUGCCUCACCUAUCCUCAGUGAGAGGAAGGCACAACUUUAAGGUUAACACAAUUCAAGGUGACUUCAAAUAGGCAAUGCCUUCAUUAACACAUUUUGAAGAUCUAGAAAAUUCAGUAACAUUGCUUCACCUCAAUGAUGUCACAGCUAAAAGAAUACAUCAGGCCAAGCAACCGUGUUAACCUGAAAAGUAAAACCAACCAACCAACAAACAAACAAAAAAAAAAAACCCAAACACGAAA